CGCGCAGGCGGCUCUGAAAGUCAGAUGUGAAAGCCCCGGGCUUAACCUGGGAACUGCAUUUGAUACUCUGGAGCUUGAGUGUGGGAGAGGAGAGUGGAAUUCCCAGUGUAGAGGUGAAAUUCGUAGAUAUUGGGAAGAACACCGGUGGCGAAGGCGGCUCUCUGGACCACAACUGACGCUGAGGCGCGAAAGCGUGGGGAGCAAACAGGAUUAGAUACCCUGGUAGUCCACGCCGUAAACGAUGUGCGCUAGACGUUGGGAAGCUUAGCUUCUCGGUGUCGCAGCUAACGCGAUAAGCGCACCGCCUGGGGAGUACGGCCGCAAGGUUAA
This 330-nucleotide ribosomal RNA is filed under the name uncultured bacterium. RNAcentral's name for it is "bacterial SSU rRNA". It matches the Rfam family "Bacterial small subunit ribosomal RNA", at positions 568 to 897 of the family's 1533-position model. The record is from RNAcentral.